CGUGAGCAACCUGCCCUCCACUUCGGGAUAAGCCUUGGAAACGGGGUCUAAUACCGGAUAUGAGCAUCCAUCGCAUGGUGGGUGUUGGAAAGUUUUUCGGUGGGGGAUGGGCUCGCGGCCUAUCAGCUUGUUGGUGGGGUGAUGGCCUACCAAGGCGUCGACGGGUAGCCGGCCUGAGAGGGCGACCGGCCACACUGGGACUGAGACACGGCCCAGACUCCUACGGGAGGCAGCAGUGGGGAAUAUUGCACAAUGGGCGAAAGCCUGAUGCAGCGACGCCGCGUGAGGGAUGACGGCCUUCGGGUUGUAAACCUCUUUCAGCAGGGAAGAAGCGCAAGUGACGGUACCUGCAGAAGAAGCGCCGGCUAACUACGUGCCAGCAGCCGCGGUAAUACGUAGGGCGCAAGCGUUGUCCGGAAUUAUUGGGCGUAAAGAGCUCGUAGGCGGUUUGUCGCGUCUGGUGUGAAAUCCCGAGGCUCAACCUCGGGCUUGCAUCGGGUACGGGCAGACUAGAGUGCGGUAGGGGAGACUGGAAUUCCUGGUGUAGCGGUGGAAUGCGCAGAUAUCAGGAGGAACACCGAU
Molecule: ribosomal RNA, 582 nt
Filed under: Isoptericola cucumis
Lineage: Bacteria; Bacillati; Actinomycetota; Actinomycetes; Micrococcales; Promicromonosporaceae
Description: bacterial SSU rRNA
Rfam family: Bacterial small subunit ribosomal RNA
Source: RNAcentral